This 590-nucleotide ribosomal RNA is filed under the name uncultured bacterium. Its description in RNAcentral is "bacterial SSU rRNA". It matches the Rfam family "Bacterial small subunit ribosomal RNA", at positions 335 to 919 of the family's 1533-position model. The record is from RNAcentral.
AUUCUACGGGAGGCAGCAGUGGGGAAUUUUGGACAAUGGGGGCAACCCUGAUCCAGCCAUGCCGCGUGAGUGAAGAAGGCCUUCGGGUUGUAAAGCUCUUUUGGUCGGGAAGAAAGCGCCUUGCCUAAUACGCGAGGUGGUUGACGGUACCGGCAGAAUAAGCACCGGCUAACUACGUGCCAGCAGCCGCGGUAAUACGUAGGGUGCGAGCGUUAAUCGGAACUACUGGGCGUAAAGCGUGCGCAGGCGGUUCGUUAAGUCUGAUGUGAAAGCCCCGGGCUCAACCUGGGAAUGGCAUUGGAAACUGGCGGGCUGGAGUGUGGCAGAGGGGGGUGGAAUUCCACGUGUAGCAGUGAAAUGCGUAGAGAUGUGGAGGAACACCGAUGGCGAAGGCAGCCCCCUGGGCCAACACUGACGCUCAGGCACGAAAGCGUGGGGAGCAAACAGGAUUAGAUGCCCUGGUAGUCCACGCCCUAAACGAUGAUCACUGGGUGUUGGGGAAGCGAUUCCUUGGUACCGUAGCUAACGCGUGAAGUGAUCCGCCUGGGGAGUACGGUCGCAAGAUUAAAACUCAAAGGAAUUGACGGAAU